GACGAACGCUGGCGGCGCGCUUAACACAUGCAAGUCGAACGGAAAGGCCCUUCGGGGUCCUCGAGUGGCGAACGGGUGAGUAACACGUGGGUGAUCUGCCCUGCACUUUGGGAUAAGCCUGGGAAACUGGGUCUAAUACCGAAUAGGACCGCGCGCUUCAUGGUGUGUGGUGGAAAGCUUUUGCGGUGUGGGAUGGGCCCGCGGCCUAUCAGCUUGUUGGUGGGGUAAUGGCCUACCAAGGCGACGACGGGUAGCCGGCCUGGGAGGGUGACCGGCCACACUGGGACUGAGGUACGGCGCAGACUCCUACGGGAGGCAGCAGUGGGGAGUAUUGCACAGUGGGCGCAAGCCUGAUGCAGCGGCGCCGCGUGAGGGAUGACGGCCUUCGGGUUGUGAACCUCUUUCACCAGGGACGAGGCGCAAGUGACGGUACCUGAAGAAGAAGCACCGGCCAACUACGUG
Molecule: ribosomal RNA, 462 nt
Filed under: uncultured bacterium
Lineage: Bacteria
Description: partial 16S ribosomal RNA
Rfam family: Bacterial small subunit ribosomal RNA
Source: RNAcentral